UGACUUUUGGCCCGAGCUUUUUUACUAAGUCAUUUCCACAUGUUUUGGACCCAUAUCCAGUCCAAACCUUACGGGCCGAGCUUUUUUGCCAACCCUACGGCGUUAAUUGAGUUUGCUAUCCGCAUUCGUCUGAGUCAUUGGCUGGAAGUAAAGUGAACUGGGAAAAAAAUCAAUGGUAUCAAGGCAGGAGCUUGUGAGAUGCAGAUUGAUUUAGAGACAAUAAAUAAUACACAAAUAAAGCGAAAGGUUUCAUGUAAUGCUCUUUGCCUUUUUGGAACUUUGAUGAAUACUUGGAAACUUAAUUUUGUUGGAAUUUUUUUUUAGAGCUGAAAAUAGGGGAGAGUAAAAAAAGAAAUACCUUUUGACCCAAAUUAAUUAAGGUUCCACAUAAUGUUUUUGGAAUAUUUAAGAAACUUUAUUUUGUUGGAAGAGUAAAAGAAAACUACUUUUUUACUUAAAUUUCUGUGAACAACGUAGACAAAGAAUUCCAGUGGUAGCUCUAAUUAAGGUUAAUUUUGUUAUCAAAAGAGAGGUUAAGAGGAAUUUUGAAGUAUUUUUAAGCAUUUGAGAUGGGGUAAAUAUAGAAAAGAGAAAAAGAAGGAUUAUGGAGGGGCGCUUUGCGCUAAUAAGGCCAACUCAUUAAACUUGUGGAAUAAAGCCCAUGAGCGGGAUACGACCACAUUAGACCAGACAUGGCUAUUUACAAAAGCCCAAUGUCUUUUUGUAUAAAAUAAAUAAAUUGAGGCUGUGUCCUUUACACGCAAUUGGGAUUUUUUCUUUUUUUGGUUAUUCACCGGCAUAUUUUUGGAAUAAAAAUGAGUAUUAACAGUAAUUUUUAAAAUAUUAAUAUAAUCAAAGUUCAAUACAACUGAAGCCCAAUAAAAUUUUUAUUUUAUAAUUACAAUUUUUUUCUCACAACAACUACGACUUAUAAUCCCGUAGUACCUAAAUACCAAACGGAGGCUACUUAUAAAUAGAUAGUCCUUAACUAAAUUGAUGUAAUAAGACAUCCAAUGACAUCAAAAUCACACCACACAUUUGAAACUUUUCCUCGCAAUGAAUAUAUACACACUUCUUCACUAAAAUUUAGACAUUAAUACUGCAUGUUUUAGGACAUUUAAUUUUGUAUGUUUUAUGACAUUAAUACCUUAUGUUUUAGGACAUUAUAAAAUUCGCAUGACAAACUUUUCACCUUAGUCCUCGCAAGAUGAUAAUGAAUAAUAAAGGCCACAAAUAGUUGAGACUAAAAAAAUUUACUAAUGUUAAAAUAAAAUUUGUACAUAAAAUAACACAAACCAUACAUACACCAAAGUAAGGCAACGAUAAUGUUAAAUUCUCGAACACUUAAGUAGAUUUACAAUCCUUCUCAAUCAAAAAAAAAAAAAGAUUUACUCUCUCCCUUAUGUAGAGUAGGGCAUUACUAUUUUAAUAUGGCUAUAAAAGAAAUACUAAACCUACAAAGAAAUAAAUUCUUAAAAGAAAUUCUAAAUUAAAUAGAAUUUAAAAGUUAAUUAGAAUUGGUAAAUUUUUUUGUGUGGUUAGGCAGCUAUAAUUUAAAAAUU
Molecule: long non-coding RNA, 1562 nt
Filed under: Citrus x clementina
Lineage: Eukaryota; Viridiplantae; Streptophyta; Magnoliopsida; Sapindales; Rutaceae
Description: Citrus clementina (C. clementina) long non-coding RNA (CCLE_LNC002929)
Source: RNAcentral